UCUUCGUUGGUGAACCAGCGGAGGGAUUAUUACAGAGUUAUCUAACUUCCAAACCCAUGUGAUCUUACCAUUUGUUGCCUCGGCAGAGCCUACCCGGUAACUGUUCGGAGAAGCUACCCUGUAGCUACCCUGUAACGGCCUACCCUGUAACGCACUGCCGGUGGACUUUUAAACUAUUGUUAUAUUAUCGUAAUCUGAGCGUCUUAUUUUAAUAAGUCAAACCUUUCAACAACGGAUCUCUUGGUUCUGGCAUCGAUGAAGAACGCAGC
This 269-nucleotide unclassified non-coding RNA is filed under the name uncultured fungus. RNAcentral's name for it is "sequence contains ITS1, 5.8S rRNA gene". The stretch from base 221 to 269 matches the Rfam family "5.8S ribosomal RNA", at positions 1 to 49 of the family's 154-position model. The record is from RNAcentral. Lineage: Eukaryota; Fungi.